GAGGAAAGAGGGAGGAGGGAAGAAUACAUGUAAGUCGAGCGAACAGAUAAGGAGCUUGAUAAUUUGAAGUUAGAGGAGGAAGGGUGAGUAAAACGUGGGUAAAAUAUAUAUAAGAAUGGAAUAAUUAAGGGAAAACGGGGCUAAUGCCGGAUAACAUGUUGAACCGCAUGGUUCUACAGUGAAAGGCGGCUUUGCUGUCACUUAUAGAUGGACCCGCGCCGUAUUAGCUAGUUGGUGAGGUAACGGCUCAUCAAGGGAAGUAUACGUAGCCGACCUGAGAGGGUGAUCGGCCACACUGGAACUGAGACACGGUCCAGACUCCUACGGGAGGCAGCAGUAGGGAAUCUUCCGCAAUGGGCGAAAGCCUGACGGAGCAACGCCGCGUGAGUGAUGAAGGUCUUCGGAUCGUAAAACUCUGUUAUUAUGGAAGAACAAAUGCGUAAGUAACUGUGCGCGUCUUGACGGUACCUAAUCAGAAAGCCCCGGCUCCCUACGUU
This 497-nucleotide ribosomal RNA is filed under the name uncultured bacterium. Its description in RNAcentral is "partial 16S ribosomal RNA". It matches the Rfam family "Bacterial small subunit ribosomal RNA", at positions 38 to 507 of the family's 1533-position model. The record is from RNAcentral.